Macaca fascicularis (crab-eating macaque) is the source of this 300-nucleotide unclassified non-coding RNA. It matches the Rfam family "Metazoan signal recognition particle RNA". Rfam says of the family: The signal recognition particle (SRP) is a universally conserved ribonucleoprotein. It is involved in the co-translational targeting of proteins to membranes. The record is from Ensembl. NCBI's taxonomy places the organism in Eukaryota, Metazoa, Chordata, Mammalia, Primates, Cercopithecidae.
GCCAGGCAAGUGGCAUGUGCCUGUAGUCCCAGAUACUUGGGAGGCUAAGGCUAGGAGGAUCGCUGAAGCCCAGGAGUUCUGGGCUCUAGUGCACUAUCCUGAUCAGAUGUCUGCACUAAGUUCAGCAUCAGUAUGGUGACCUCCUGGGAGUGGGGCACCACCAGGUUGCCUAAGGAGGGAUGAACUGGCCCAGGUCAGAAAUAGAGCAGAUCAAAACUUGAGUGCUGAUCAGUAGUGGGAUCACACCAGUGAGUAGUCACUGCACUCCAGCCUGGGCAACUUAGCAAGACCCCAUCUCUU